AUCCUGUCUGAAUAUGGGGGGACCAUCCUCCAAGGCUAAAUACUCCUGACUGACCGAUAGUGAACCAGUACCGUGAGGGAAAGGCGAAAAGAACCCCGGCGAGGGGAGUGAAAAAGAACCUGAAACCGUGUACGUACAAGCAGUGGGAGCACGCUUAGGCGUGUGACUGCGUACCUUUUGUAUAAUGGGUCAGCGACUUAUAUUCUGUAGCAAGGUUAACCGAAUAGGGGAGCCGAAGGGAAACCGAGUCUUAACUGGGCGUUAAGUUGCAGGGUAUAGACCCGAAACCCGGUGAUCUAGCCAUGGGCAGGUUGAAGGUUGGGUAACACUAACUGGAGGACCGAACCGACUAAUGUUGAAAAAUUAGCGGAUGACUUGUGGCUGGGGGUGAAAGGCCAAUCAAACCGGGAGAUAGCUGGUUCUCCCCGAAAGCUAUUUAGGUAGCGCCUCGUGAAUUCAUCUCCGGGGGUAGAGCACUGUUUCGGCA
Molecule: ribosomal RNA, 487 nt
Filed under: Shigella sonnei
Lineage: Bacteria; Pseudomonadati; Pseudomonadota; Gammaproteobacteria; Enterobacterales; Enterobacteriaceae
Description: partial 23S ribosomal RNA
Rfam family: Bacterial large subunit ribosomal RNA
Source: RNAcentral